AUUGAACGCUGGCGGCAGGCUUAACACAUGCAAGUCGAGCGGAGAUGAGGUGCUUGCACCUUAUCUUAGCGGCGGACGGGUGAGUAAUGCUUAGGAAUCUGCCUAUUAGUGGGGGACAACAUUCCGAAAGGAAUGCUAAUACCGCAUACGUCCUACGGGAGAAAGCAGGGGAUCUUCGGACCUUGCGCUAAUAGAUGAGCCUAAGUCGGAUUAGCUAGUUGGUGGGGUAAAGGCCUACCAAGGCGACGAUCUGUAGCGGGUCGGAGAGGAUGAUCCGCCACACUGGGACUGAGACACGGCCCAGACUCCUACGGGAGGCAGCAGUGGGGAAUAUUGGACAAUGGGGGGACCCCUGAUCUAGCCAUGCCGCGUGUGUGAAGAAGGCCUUAUGGUUGUAAAGCACUUUAAGCGAGGAGGAGGCUACUGAGACUAAUACUCUUGGAUAGUGGACGUUACUCGCAGAAUAAGCACCGGCUAACUCUGUGCCAGCAGCCGCCGUAA
Molecule: ribosomal RNA, 501 nt
Filed under: uncultured bacterium
Lineage: Bacteria
Description: partial 16S ribosomal RNA
Rfam family: Bacterial small subunit ribosomal RNA
Source: RNAcentral